GCAUUGGUGGUUUAGUGGUAAAAUUAGCCGUUGCCAUGUGACUCAGAUCCAUUGAGUAGCAUUGUCGGCUAGCCCCGGGUUCGAUUCCCGGCCGAUGCA
Molecule: transfer RNA, 99 nt
Filed under: Dothistroma septosporum NZE10
Lineage: Eukaryota; Fungi; Ascomycota; Dothideomycetes; Mycosphaerellales; Mycosphaerellaceae
Description: tRNA-Gly for anticodon GCC
Rfam family: tRNA
About the family: Transfer RNA (tRNA) molecules are approximately 80 nucleotides in length.
Source: RNAcentral